This 116-nucleotide ribosomal RNA is filed under the name Sinocyclocheilus grahami. Lineage: Eukaryota; Metazoa; Chordata; Actinopteri; Cypriniformes; Cyprinidae. The record is from RNAcentral.
GCCACAGCCAUAUCACCCUGCAGCCCAAGACUGGUUGCCCACUGAAGCUAAGCAGCGUUGAGCCUGGUCAGUACCUGGAUGGGAGACCUCCUGGGAAAACUAGGUUGCUGCUGGAA